GGCAGAGUGGCCUCUGUGGCCAGGGAGCCGCAGGCAAGGGACUAAGGGGAGGGGGGCUCAGUGCCAGCUGCUUAAAAAUGCCCUGUGGCAGUGAGGGGCUCCAGAGUCUAGGUCAAAUUAGUUGAGAAGCAGUGACACCCUCAGCCACUCCCCACACAGGCUGGCUCCCAUCUCCAGGCCCCAAGGAGCCACACCUGGACCAGACCCCAGGAAAGCUAUCUCAAGACUUCCUGAGAACCCUCCGACGGACCUCACGGAACGGGCAGAAUAUGUGUGGUCGACGUCCCGGGAGUCAGAUUCUGUGCUGAACAGCUUGCAUUAUCAUUUCACUGUCCUGGGGAUUCCUGUGAGGCAGGAAUCAGCGUCAUUCCAUCACUCUCACUUUCUAGAGAAGGAAACCACUGCAGCUCACACAAUGUCACACAACUAAUAAGUGGCAAAGGGGAUUUCAACCCAGUCUACGCAUCUGCAGAACGCACACCCUUGGGCUGCCCACCGUGACACCUAUGAGGGCGGUGAUGAAGAAUCCCACGUCGCAGAGGAGACGGAGGCCAGGAAGGAGGCCCUGCGGGAGCCUGAGCCCAUCUUCGAGCUCUGAGGCCGCUCCUCUCCCUUCAACCCUGUUGCUGCCCCGCAUUGGUCCCUCGGAGCCACACCACAGCCCUUUGGGCAAAAUCAGCCCCUUCCCAGCCUGGCCAGUUCUGAGGAAAAGUGACACUGACACCUAUUCUUUUUUUUUUUUUUGAGAUGAGGUUUCACUCUGUUACCCAGGCUAGAGUGCAGUGAUGCUUCUCAGCUCACUGCAAACGCCACCUCCCAGGCUUAAGUGAUCCUUCCACCUCAGCCUCCCAAGUAGCUGGGAUUACAGGUGUGUGCCACCAUGCCUGGCUAAUUUUUUGUAUUUUUUUAAUAGAGAUGGGGUUUCGCCCUGUUGUCCAGGCUGGUCUCAAACUCCUGGGCUCAAGCAAUUCUCUAUCCUCAGCCUCUCAAAGUGCUAGGAUUACAGGCAUCAGUUACCACUCCCAGCCAACACCUAUCCUUGAGGAACAGAAAGAUCCAGGCCCCAUACCAUACAUCAUCACUGACUCAAGUGGCUGUGUCUGACUCCUGGGUGAGCCUGAGGGGUUCAGGGAGGUAAUCUCUGAGGUCCUCAUUGCUGAGCUGUGCCUGGGCAUGGCCUCUUCCUGCAAUUUUCCAACUAAACUGUCCCAGGGGUUCAGCGCCGUGGGGUGGUUCAAAGAACUGUGACAAAGGUUGUUCGGAAUCGUUGCAAUGACCAUUUUUCUCCACAUCUCCUGCUACCCAUAAGCCAGAGUCUCUCUGUAGCUUAUACCUAGAAGGGGUUCUGGGUCCUGGGGUGCAGGCCUGUCAGCUUUACAGGAGAGCACAAGAUUGCUUUCCAAAGUGGCUGAACCAGGUUACGCUCCCAUCAGCAGUAUGUGAGCGUCCCCAUCCCCUUGACCACACUUGAAGUCAUCAGAUUUCUUAAAGCAUGUGGGUUGCACACUUUGUUUUGCAUGUAUCAAAUUCAUAUAGUAAAAAAUGUAAGGAAGACAUGGAAAUAAAAACAUAGCUUUGUCUUCUAUAGGCUGCUGUACACCUGUGCACGAGGGUGUCUAGAACUUUGCCCUCCAUGCACAAGUUGCAGAAUACUGUCAUCAGGAUACUUACAAAGGCCCUGGAAUGGGAAUGAGCACUGCCUAUGUGGUCCUCCCCCAGCUCAGCAGUAUGCAGUGGCCAGGAUCCAAUCAGAGGUCGCCUGGGAGGGUGAGUUGCAGGAAUUUGGGGGAAAGAGCCCAAGGUGGCUGCUGCCUGCUAACAGCUUGUCUAGACAAGCCUCACGGGGCUUCACCACACAUUGCGAGAGCCCCGGCCAGCCCCCUGCCCACUUGCAAAAGAAGCUGUUGGCAGCAACACUUCACCACCAGAAACCUUUACUCCAGUUUGAAAUAUGCCUUAAUGCACAGUGUGAAUUACCCACUCUCAUGGCCCACAGAGGUUGACUCCUUCAGGCCCCCUUUUGUUCACAUGAGGAAACUGAGGCUGACUCCGAAGCCAGGGUGCUUUCAGAUAUGGAGUGGAUCCCUGUGCCCAAGUGACGAGGGGACUAGGUGGGUCUGGAGCAGGGCUGGAGCAGGCUCAGAUGUAGUAGGCUGGUAGCUAAAGGUGCCAGAUGUGAGCCAGGCAGCUGGGUUUGAGUCCUAGAUCUGCAUUAUAGCAGCAAUAGGACUUUGGGUGACUUACAUAGGUGCUGUAUGCCUCAGUGACCUCAUCUGUAAUAUAGAGGUGACAAGAGUACUGUCUCAUUGAUCUAUUGAGUUGUCUGGAUUAACUCAUUAAAUUAAUUAAAACUCAUGAAGCCCUUGGAACAGUGACUGACACAUAUUAAGUACUCAGUAAAAAAUAGCUGCUAAGGCCAGGCAUGGUGGCUCAUACUUGUAAUCUGAGCACUUUGGGAGGCCAAGGCAGAAGGAUCCCUUGAACCCAGUAUUUUGAGACCAGCCUGAAGGUCACCAUAAGGAGACUCUGUCUCUACUAUAAGUUUUUAAAUUAAAUUUUAAUAAUAAUAGUAACUGCCAAAAUAUGAUUAUUAAAGGCAGCAUCUUCACAGUGCAAAGAGAUGCUCUUCGGGGUAUCACCUCUUUGGACUUUGGGGGAUUAACUGCCCUUAUUCCUUCAAAAUAACACCUGCCAUAUAUCAAGCCCUUUCAAGUACCUGGCCCUUUACCCAGCACUCUGAGGCAAAUACCAUUAUCUCUCUAGGCACACAAAGGCUCAGAGAGGUUUAGUCAUUUGCCCAAAGUCAUACAGCCUGUACGAGGCCAAGCCAGGACUCAAACCCAGUUCUGACUAGUUCUAAAAUUAUGUGUUUAACUGUUGUACUCUCGGACCACCCACAGUGGGUCUGUGAAGCUGAACUAGCUCUGGUUCUGACCUGCCUAGUAGGGCCUUUGGCAUUUGAGGGAGGAGGCCAUUGGAAGUCCGAAGCCCCCUUCCAGACUAGGCAUGAUUGCAAUAGGGAAGAGAUAGACUCUUCAACUCCCCUACCCCUGCUCAGGCUCAAAAAUGCAGACCCUGGGCCAGGCGUGGUGGCUCACACCUAUAAUCCCAGCACUUUGGGAGGCCGAGGCGGGUGGAUCACGAGGUCAAGAGAUCGAGACCAUCCUGGUCAACACGGUGAAACCCUGUCUCUACUAAAAAUACAAAAAAUUAGGUGGGCAUGGUGGCGCGUGCCUGUAAUCCCAGCUACUCAGGAGGCUGAGGCAGGAGAAUUGCUUGAACCCAGGAGGCGGAGGUUGCAGUGAGCCGAGAUUGUGCCAUUGCACUCCAGCCUGGGUAACAUGAGCGAAACUCCGUCUCAAAAAAAAGAAAACAAUGCAGACCCUGGCAAAACAGUCCUUCUUAUCCAGAAGCACUCUGUAGGGUGGGCUGAGCAACUUUGAGGGCCUCGUCAGUCUUGGGCUGCCCCAUGCUCUGCACAGCCCACCUGAGGUUUGAGGAAAUGGCAGUCAGUUAGGCCCAGACUGGAGAAAGCCAGCCCACCAUGGCUCCUCCCCAAGAACCCCCAGCCAGCCACAAGCCUAAGCCCCCUCCUUAAAGAUUCCUCCUCUGGGCCAGGCACAGUGGCUCACACCUGUAAUCCUAGCACUUUGGGAGGCCAAGGUAGGCAAAUUGCCUGAGCUCAGGAGUUCGAGAUCAGCCUGGUCAGCAUGGUGAAACCCUGUCUCUUCUAAAAAUACAAAAAAUUAGCUGGGCAUGAUGGCACACACUGUAGUCCCAGCUACUCGGGAGGCUGAAGCAGGAUAAUCGCUUGAACCCAGGAGGCAGAAGUUGCGGUGAGCCAAGAUCAUGCCACUGCACUCCAGCAUGGGUGACAGAGUGCAACUCUAUCUCAAAAAAAAAAAAAAAAAAAAAAAAUGAAAGUUCAAAACUGCUCUGCUGCCACAUACUAUCCUUCUCCUCCCCCUCCAGGGAAGCAAUGACAGGGGUGAAGUGUCUAGAGAGAGGUUGCCUGCUGGCCUAGAGAUGGCAUCCACAGAGGCUAUGACACCUGGAAUGCCCAGCCCUGGCUGGGCUGCCAGGCUCAGAGGUGCCCAGUCAGCCUGCCCAAAGCAUGCCAGCCACCAGGCAUGUGAUCCAACAACCCUGAUGAGUCUAAGAGCAUCUGCCCAGAUGAGCUGAGCAAGACAGAGAGAAGGAGAAAGAGGCCAGCUAGAACCAGGAAUGGCUCUGCAGCCAGCACACCUGGGUAAAUGCCUCGCUCCUCUGGGGCCUCAGGCUGUGAGGUUUCAUGGUUUGGGACAAAGAGGACAGAUGAGGUCAUUUCAUGUGUGACAGCAGACACCUGGAUUCUCAGAGAGGGAACUUCUGUGGAGCUGGGGGCGUGCCCUGGACAGACAGAGAAGACAGCAUUCCAGGUGGAAAGCUCUGUGUACAAAGCUAUCGAAGCAGGACUGCAGAGGCAUUUUUGGAGAACAGCAGAGAAGCCCAGUUGGCUGGAACCAAGAGUUGGUCUGAAGUUCAGCAAGGCUGGAAGUUGGCAAAACAGGGAAGGUCUAGAUUGUGUGGUGGCUUUGACAACAGGAAUCAAAGCUUCAGAGCUUAGGAAAAGUCCUCCUUGGUAUCUCUCUGUCCCUGGGAGGGAGUCCCUUUCUUUAGCCUAUUUUUCCCCCUCCCCAAAACACCAUCAACCAAGAACCCCAGUUCAGGGCAGAGACCUAGGAAUUUGGAUUAUGGGCAACUCUCAGAUGUCAGGCAAUGAAGAGAGGAGAGCUCAGGUGGGACUAGGAGGGGUAGUAAGCCCGAGGGCUGCAGACACCAUCUUCAGACCUCUCCAGAGCUUCAGAUCAACUCGCUGUGGCUCACACCUGUAAUCCCAGCACUUUGGGAGGCUGAGGCAAGCAGUACAGGAAUUGAGGAGUUCAGGAGUUUGAGGUCAGCAGUUCGAGACCAGCCUAACCAACAUGGCAAAAAUCCAUCUCUACUAAAAAAAUACAAAAAUUGGCCAGAUGUGGUGGUGGGUGCCUAUAAUCCCAGCUGUUGAGGAGGCUGAGACAUGAAAAUCACUUGAACCUGAGAGGCAGAGGUUGCAGUGAACUGAGAUGGCACCACUGCACCCCAGCCUCUGUCUCAAAAAAUAAACAUAAAAAAACACAUUCAACUUACAAUAUUUUUCAUUUACAAUAAACUUAUCAGGAUUUAGUGCCAUCAUAAGUUAAGGAACAUCUGUAGUGAGCUCCUCAUCACCAGAGGUGUGUGAGCUUAGUAGGGACACCAUAAAGAGAAGCCAAACAUCAGAAGAGGUUGGGCAUCAUGGACUUCCCUACCACCAGCCUCAGAUCUCACUUGCCAGCUCUAGCUGCUUUGAGACAAUCAUGAGUGGAGCCUUCCUGCAGCCUGGAUGUCACAGUCCCAGCCAGACAUGACAUCAGUUCUGCCCUCACAUUGCACAGGGGCCUCUUGGACCUCCCACCUCCUACCUCCCACUUCCUUUCUGCUGCUGCCUCCUGCUUUCCCAGGGGACACUAGGCCUGACCAAAGGGACUUGGAUCCUGGUUGUGAGAUGGAGGUCCCCAGGGAGCAUUCAGCUGAUGGCCUUCCGCCCAGCAGGAAUGAGACGAAGGGGGCCAGGGUUCCUGGGAGCCCUGUUCACACGCUCUACAGAGUCUGCAUGGAAAUUCCAGGAGGGUCACAGGAAAGCUUCAAAUUGAGAACCACAAUGCUUUAUUUUUUUCCCAUUUCUCUUCUGUUCCAUCCUUUCCCUCAGUAGUUAGUUGGAGGAGGGUGGCGGUCAUAGGAGGCUGGGAAAGGAAAGCAAGCAUCCUCUUGGGCUGAGUCACAGAAAGAGCAUGGAGAGACGGAGGGUGUGGGGUAGAUUAGGAGGCCCACCAGACAGGGCUUGGAGCGGUGGACAGCAGUGUGGGAGAGGAUGGAGGAGUCAAGGGCAUGGCCAGGCCUGUGAGGGUCCUGGAGCAGUGGGCAACUACACUGCCUGGGCAGGCAUGCCUCCCUAGACACUCAAGACCAGAGCUGCCAGGGCCUGGGUUCAAGCUGGGUUCAGGAGUUAGCCCAGGGGUGUCUAGAAUAAAGACAGAAGGAUCUUGGGAAUGGGGCUUCCAAGAAUCUCAGGCAAUGCGCCCCCACCUCACAUGGACUGCAGAGCUCAGGGUCUUACAAUAUCCAUCUCAUUCCCUCUGGCGCCCCUGGUAGAUGCUUCAUAAAUAUUCCCAGUGUUGAAUCCCAUACCCAUUGCAUCAUAGUCCUUUCAGAGCUGAGGGACCUUAAAUAGCAUCAAGGCCUAUCUCCUCAUGUUAUAGAUGCAGAGACUGAGGCCCAAUGUCAGGGAGCAAUGCUCCCAAAAUCGUGCUGCCGGUGACCACAUCCUUUGCUUCUUCUCUGCCUUCUAGCCAAAGAUAGAGACUAUGGUACACUUUUCACAGCCAAGGGCAGGGGACAGAGGAGAGGCAGGUGCCCUGGCAGGAUGCAACUAUCUCCAAGACAUAGUUAGAGGACGGCAGCCUAUCUUGAGUUCUGACUGUUCUGUCCAGGAGUUCCCUUUCAGUGGCCAGAGAUGUUCCCCAAUGCUGUUGGCCUCUUGCAGAGGAAAGAGCCUGAGGUGGGAAGGGAAACCCUUGAUUCUAUUCCUGGCCCAAGCUUUGCUUUAUAGCUGUGAAAUUCCCAGAGAGACAAAAAGCUAAGAAAACCCUUAAGAUCACCCCCAGAGAGGGUCCACAGAUGGCUCAAGGUCACACAGCAAACUAGGAAUGGGCCUUGGAUUUUCUGACUCCCAGGCCAGUGCUCUUGCCACUCACCACGCUGCUUUCCAGAAUAACAGGCAUAUAAGCUGUCCUCGUGUGGACCCCAGCAUUGAUUUAGCUUGGCGGAUUAAACUCCCACACAGGGAGCUACAAUCUCUUCCCCUGGCUGGGACUCAGUUUCUUCUUCUAUAAAACAGAUGGCCAGGCAUGAUGGCUCAUGCCUGUAAUCCCAGCACUUUGGGAGGUCAAGGCAGGUGGACCACCUGAAAUCAGAAGUUCAAGACCAGCCUGACCGAUAUGAUGAAAACCUGUCUUUACUAAAAAUACAAAACUUAGCCAGGCUUGGUGGUGGGCACCAGCAGUCCCAGCUACUCAGGAGGCUGAGACAGGAGAAUCGCCUGAACCUGGGAGGCAGAGGUUGCAGUGAGCCAAGAUCCUGCCACUGUACUCCAGCCUGUAGGACAGAGUGAGAGUGUGUCUUGAAAAAAAAAGACACACAGGGUGGACCAGAUGUCUCUAGGAGCGCUUCUGCCAUAACACUAAGGAUCUACCAGGACCCUAGUGCUUUCCUGGGAAGCCUCUGCUGACACCUACCUCAACCCUAUCUUCCCCAAAGGUAGGGCCACCCAGGCCAGGAAAUCCCACCAAGUCUUCCCCACAUUCUACCCUGUCCCACCCCAGACCCUGGGGCUGGACUUCAUCCAGAACUACAGGCUCCAGCCCAGCUCCCCCUCUGAGGAUCUGGACUUUUUCUUACCAUAAAAGGGCAAGCGUGCCUCUCUUGGUCCCUGCUGCCAGCCCCGCUGGGGGAAAGACUGAGCUAUUUUUAGAAAACUCAAGUGUUUGCUCCUGAACUCAAGAUGGGGCAUCUCUGCGCCUGCACCCUGGGAGCCCCUUCCCAUCUUUCUUCCUCCUCCUUCUCCUCCCAUCGCUAUCUCCCUUCCUUUUCUCUUCCUCUCUGUCUUGCUCUCAGUCUCAUCCAACCAUCUCUCUUCCCUUUUCUCCCCCUAUGCUCCCACCUUGAAUUGCUGUUCUCUCUUCCUUCCGCCUCACUUCUUCCUUCUCCCGAAAUCUUUUCAUAGUUAGCUUCCCUCCCCCACGUCUCUCCCUCAGAUCUCAUUUCUGGUGGUGGAAAAAAGUAACACAGCUGCACCCCCACCCCUUCUUAAACACUAUUUACAACAUAAAUUGCAAACAUCCGCCAUCUGGUUCUAGGAAGGCCCAAAAGCUAUUUGGAGAAGGAAGUCAUGAUUAUUCCAUCUUCAAAGCAAAAGGAACUUAAAGGCUCUCUUCUCUCCCACCUUCCUCCCGUGGCCCCUUUGUUUAAUAUCUGACCGAUCAAGAUCCCUAGUGAGCAGAAGAGGUCAGGACAUUUGCCGGAGUCCCAGCUGGACCUGUGACUGGCUGCAUCACUUUGAGUUCCUUGCUUCUCCUCUGCAUGCCUCAGUUUCCUCAUCUGAACAAUGGGUGAAAGACUAGGGUGCCUCCAGCACUAAGUUCCAAGACUUCAAGUACAGAAAAUCCACUUGGUCCAGGUCACUGGGGCCUACUUUGGGCUGAGCAACGAAGGGUAGGAUGAGGGCAAGGGAGUGGGAGGCAGUGAAGGAGCUCCAUCCUCAUCCCUUCAAGCACCAAUUUCUCUCUCGCUCCAUGGAGAUCUAUGCAGACCAUUCACCUGCAUUCACACCCACAAUCACACUGGGGAAUGGGGUGGGGUCACACUACCCCUCCAUGUCUGAUCUAGAUGGACUCUGGACACUCCAGAGUCCAGUCCUGUCUCCACCACAUCAUGUAGAUGCGAGCCCUUGAGGCCCAGAGAGGGGAAGACCCUUGUCGCAAUUACACAGCGUAUCUAUAGAAAACCUAUUACCUAGCCUGCUCCUCCUCCCACCCAACACAUUCCAGAAGAAACCAACAUUUGUAUUAUCUAGAAAGCAUUGCCCAGUCCCAACAAAGCUCCUGGAAUCCUGGAGGUCCCCUGUUUUUGCAAAGUUUACAGGACAAAGGGGGAAUAAUGCCUUUUUUUUUUUUUUAAGACAGUCUCAUUUUGUCACCCAGGCUGUUUUGCAGUGGGGCGAUCUCGGCUCACUGCAACUUCUGUCUCCCAGGUUCAAGCAAUUCUCCUGCCUCAGCCUCCCCAGUAGCUGGGAUUACAGGCACGCGCUGCCACACCCAGCGAAUUUUUGUACUUUUAGUAGAGAUGGGGUUUCACCAUAUUGCCCAGGCUGGUCUUGAACUCCUGACCUCAGGUGAUCCACUCGCCUCAGCCUCCCAAAGUGUUGGGAUUACAAGUGGGAGCCACUGCAACCUGCCAAGAACCAAUACCUUUAACAUGAUGUGGAUUUCUUUUAACAAACAGCACAGAGGGAAGAAAUACGGGCAAGAGGCAGAACACCACCAAAAGGAGAAGCCCUCUUGCUUCCGGCAACAAAUGGCGUUUCAGGGCUCAGAUGGUAUUCACUUAUACUGACAAUGCUUUCUCUGUUAACAAACCCCUCUCCACAAAGACUAACACACACCUAAAUCUUGCCAAGAGAUACUGACUCCAGUUAUCACUCUGUAAAAAUGAUGUGAUGAGUAGCUGGUCUUACAAGGGAGCUGUGAGAAUGCAUGUGGGGCUGCCUGGAGCCAGUCCUUACUAGCUGUGUAAUCGGGAGGGAGUGCUGUGACCUCUGGAGCCCCAGUAAAGCGGAGGUAAGAAUGGUACCUAAUUAUUCAAAACAAGGAUCUAUGAGUAAAGAAAAGAAAAAUUAAAAGAAUGGCACCUAAUUCAGCCAGGCACAGUGGCUUAUACCUGUAAUACCAGUGCUUUGGGAGGACAAGGCAAGAGGAUCACUUGAAGCCAGGAGUUCAAGACCAGCCUGGGCAAUAUAGCAAGACUCCAUCUCUACAAAAAAUUUAAAAAUAAAAAAUUAGUUGGGCAUGGUGGCAUGUGCCUGUGGGCCCAGCUACUCAGGAGGCUGAGGCGGGAGGAUCACUUGAGCCAGGAGCUCAAGAUUACAGUGAGCUGAUUGCACCACUGCACUCGAGCCUGGGCAACAGGUUGCCCUGGAAAGCAAGAUCCUGGAGAAUGAGACCCUCUCACUUCAAAGAUAAAAAAAAACGAAUGGUACCUAACUCAUAAGUUACUUUGAAGAUCAGAUGAGAAAAGCCUUGUAAAAUAAAGCACUUGGCAAGUGUGGGGUGCAUCAAAAGCACCCAAUGACAUGUUAGCUCUCAUUACAGCUCGUCCCAGCGUGCCUGGUGCACAGGUGACGGCUUUUACCUUUGUCACUCUUUUCCCAGUUUCUGCCCUCACUAAAGGGCCAAGUGACAGGGAUUCACAGGGAUCCUGGUGGCUAUUCCCCAUGUGCCCCAGGGCCUGAGCGCUCGAGGCAAGGCUUGGGAUUCUAGGCUGGGCAGGUCAUGUUUCCCCCCCACCCCGUCUCUUCCCUUUUCCCUGCAAUGCUCUUGUUUCUGCUUCAAACUGCGUUCCCAGGGCUUGCUCAAAACUCCCCGGAGCAACCCUCCCUGGGGAGGAAGUGGGGAGCGUGUGAGGCUGGUGAACUCAUCUGGGUUGUCAAGGGGGCUGGAGGGCACUCUGGGAACAGAGGCCUGGGGAAGCUGUGCGACAAAGGGGACAUGGAAGGGGCCAGUCAGGGGCUCCCACAGCUUCCCCAGAUGCUUCUUCCGACCUUUGCUCUCUCCCGGCUUCUGCUCUUCCUCCCAAGGCUGGGCUUCACUGCGGCCCAGCCCCAUGCUAAUAAUAGAAAUGGCAGCCAUUUAUCAUGGGCUUAUGAUGUGCCUGGAAAUAUGCUCGCACUUGACAUCUGCCUCAUUUGACCUUCACAAACAAGCCUGUGAGGUCGGAAACAGGCUCAUGGAGGUGAAGACACCAGCUUUAGAUCACACAGCUAGGAAGUGCUAGUGGCAAGAUUCAAACAUGGGUCUGCAUGACUGCAAGCCCUGUGUCUUUUCUUUCCAGAAUAUGGUAGAAACCCUAGGGCCCUGGAGCCCAAGGAGAGCAAGGACUAUAACAAGUACACAGGCGUGAGCAAGCUGAGGAAGGGGAACUGUGGGCAAAGAGUCCCUGUAGAAAGAACUGGGUGUGAGCACAGGUUUGUGAGCUUGCCUGGAGCCCCUGCCUCAGCCCUCUCCCCACUAAGGUGCCAUCUGGCUCCCAGAUGUGGCCCAUUCCCAGACCCUCAUGUUUCUUAGAAAUGAGCAAGACCAGGAAAGGGCACAGGGGCUUUUGCAAUGACCGUGGCGAUGAUAGCUUUGACUUGUGGUCAUCCAGCCAGCCACUGCCCAUGCCCAGAAGAAAGCUGGAUUGAGCAUGAAGAGCCUGGGUUCAAGUCCUCUCAUGCUGUUCCCCAGGUGACCCUGGGCAAAUCCCACAGGCUCUUGGAACUUCAGAAAGGGGAAAAAUUAUUCCUACCUCUGGUGCUGUCAGUGAGCGUGCCUUGAGUUAUGGGAGGGAGCGUUUUGCAGGCUGGAAGCUUUACGUACAUGGAAGGGGUCAAAGACAGCCAUGAGCCUGUCCCUUUGGUCUUGGUCAUCAUGUUAACCCUAGGUUUUAAUUUAGCCCUACAUGGCUCCUUUCUUAUGUGUGAGGCUGAGGUGGGGGCAUUGGUCAGAAGGGCCUCUGGGAAAUUUCUUUCAGGACAGUUCUUUUGUUAAGGGGCCUAGGUGUGCUGAGAAGGGAAGGUGGCCCCUCCUACUCUUGGAGCUUGGAGUUUCUCAGAAGUUCUCCCUUAAAAGCCAGGCAGGGCCGGGCGCGGUGGCUCACACCUGUAAUCCCAGCACUUUGGGAGGCUGAGGCAGGCAGAUCACUAAGUCAGAAGAUCAAGACCAGUCUAACCAACAUGGUGAACCCCAUCUCUACUAAAAAUACAAACAUUAGCCGGGCAUGUAAUCCCAGCUAUUCAGGAGGCUGAGGCAGAAGAAUUGCUUAAACCCAGGAGGCAGAGGUUGCAGUGAGCCGAGGCCACUGCACUCAGCCUGGGUGACAGAGCAAAACUCCAUCUCACACAAAAAAAAAAAGCCAGGCAGGCCAAGAAGGAAUAAUGGCUGCUCAGGGACCAAGGGAAGAUCUCAGUAGGUUCAGCCCAAGACUUCUGAAUACCUAGAGGUAGCCCAGGCCCAUCCUCCAUCCCUCAGAGCCUGGCAGCCUGGUCAGGACCUUCAAAGGCCACAACCGUACCUGUAAGGCAUCCCGGUGUCCUUCUGACAGGUGGGAUCUUUGCUUCUUUCAGGCAAGGGCACUAGCUGGUGAAAGCCACCGCUGCCACACUGUUGUUGGAGAAGCAAGAACUCAGGAGAAGCAGCCUCCUGGGACAAGAGGAGGGCCAGCAGCAGCCAGCUUGGAGACAGAACUGUGAGCCCACCCCACCUCCACCCUUCCAGUACCCACAUUCGCUCCCCACCCCAGCCCACCUGCAGGCAGCUCCUGGAGUAACCUGAGUCCCUCAGAAUAAACUCCCCACCCUAACCUCAGAACGACCAAGAAAGCAGGCCUCAGGAUGAUGAGAAGCAGCAUGGGCCUUGGUAAAGGAAGGCCCCCACUGAUUGGUGGCAGUGCAGGCAGUUCGGGCCUGUUAGGGUCUGGGUUGUAGGUAAAAAGAAGUUGAACCAAAGCAGGGAAAUCCAACCAGGAGCCAAGAAUCCAGUCUACCCCAUCCUCCUUACAAAAUGGCAAUGCAAAGCCCAUGUGAUGUGGACAUAAAGCCUCUGUUAUUCAACUUGAUUCAGUGAAUAACAGACUGGAGAGAAAUGUGGAGAAUAAUAGUCAUCCUCCCUAGAAAGGAGUAAACAGAGUUCAGCUUCAGAAGCAGGAAGACCUGGGGCUAUGUGAUCUUGGAGGAGUCAAUCAACCUCCCUGAGCCUAGUGAUAAAGAGCCAACUCUCAGGGCUUUGAGAGGGUUUGUGAGAUUGGGCUGGCAUCCCCAGCUGCAGCCCUUGGCACAUUGUGAAACUCAGGAAAAUGGAGCAGUUUUUACCAUUCAUCACAUUAUUCCUACACUUGUCAAUGUUUAAAGAUACUUUCAGGCCGGUCACGGUGGCUCACGCCUGCAAUCCCAGCACUUUGGGAGGCUGAGGCAGGUGGAUUACGAGGUCAAGAGAUCAAGACCAUCCUGGUCAACAUGGUGAAACCCCAUCUCUACUAAAAAUACAAAAAAAAAAAAAAAUUAGCUGGGCAUGGUGGCGUAUGCCUGUAGUCCCAGCUACUCAGGAGGUUGAGGCAGGAGAAUUGCCUGAACCCAGGAGGCGGAGGUUGCGGUGAGCCGAGAUCGCGCCAUUGCACUCCAGCCUGGGUAACAAGAGCGAAACUCCAUCUCAAAAAUAAAUAAAUAAAUAAAGAUACUUUCAUGCUUACGGUGGAACUCAUAGGGUUAGGUGCCAGUUCCAUAAGACAAGAGGAGAAACUGAGGCCUGGGGAGGUGAAAGCAUUCACUCAGAAUUGCACGUACAGUCAGUUGCAAAGGGGAAUUCUGGCACCAGCUCUCAUGUGGAUGGAAAAAGUGCAGGAAGAUUUGGAGGUGAGCAGAGGAGAAGGGAGGAGGAGGCAGGUUUCCAGGAAAGGAGCUGACACUGGGAUGUGGGACAAGGCCCAGGCCUGUCUUACAUAACAAGGUCCACCUGUUCACCCCUCCAUGCCCCACACAUGUGCAAACGUGUGCCCCGGCACAGUGCACACCCGGUCCUCCCUCACUAGCAAAUGAGCCACAGAGACUGGGUCUAAACAAAUUGGAUUAGGAGGGCUGCAGGCGCCUCCUCCCCCCAACUGUCCGGCUCUGACACUAACCAGGCCUGCGGAACUGCCAGCUGGGAUCUCUCAGACACACUGACAGUCGGUUCUUGGCUCCCUCACCCCACCAUGGGCCUCAGGAAGGGGGUCUGGGUCCGAGAGGAUGCCACAGUGAUGGAUGGGGUGAGGGAGGUUCCAGGGCUAACUCAACAGCACACAGGAUGUUAGUGCUUUUGUGAGGCACAUUUCCGAGCUGUUCCCAGGCCCACUCCUUCCUCCCCUCUCCCCCUCCUCUCUGACAGCCUCUCCUAUGGCCAUUGCUGCUGUCUGGGACUUGGGCCCAGCCUGAGGCUCCAACCAGAGCCCAGAGCCCUGUCCUUGAGCAGAUCCACUUCAUCUCUUAGUCCUGCAGCUGGGCUGAGCGGGGAGUGGUCAGCUCAGAAGACACUGACCUGGAGAUGAGAUACAGGGGAUGCUUCCGUAGGAAGAAGGAGCUUGUGGACAGACAAUGCGGUCUUAAAGGUGGCAUCUCGGUGCGUUCUCAUCCCUUGUUUCAUUCCAUCCUCAGAAUGUGGCUGGGAGUGAGGGGAUGGCUGUGACUCCCAAAACUUCUUUACUUGAUGAUUCCACAAUAUCCCUUUCUGAGAGCCUGAGCCUGUGCCGCACCCUGUGUGAUGUGCCAGGAACACCAGGGUGUUCCCCUUCCUUCAUAGAACAGCCUCCUUCAGGCUGGGUCAUUGGGCACUGGGGCCUCUCUGGUCUUCCAGGGGUGCAGCUUCACAGAAUCCCUUUUCCAUAAGGCACGUGGAAGUGACUGGAGUGGGAGCCUUGACAACCAGCCAAUCCAGAACACAGACCUUGAUGUCAGACACGAGUUCAAAUCCUGCCUUGCUCCCUUUCAGCUGGAAAGCUGCUGUCAGAUAACUUAGCCUCUCCAAGCCAGUUUUGCCUUCUGCGAAAUGAGGAUACACAAGCUGCCACCUCACAGAGUGACUGUGAGAAUUAAUUCUUAUUUUUCACAUCCUCAUUGGACAGAGGGAGACACAGAAGCCCGGAGAGGGAAAGGGCUUGGUUAGGAUCACAUCAUGAGCUGGGGUUUAAGUCAGGAUGGGGUAGGUCCCCUCUUCUCCGGGUGUUCCUCUCCCCCAUCUCUUAACUCAACAUAAAUCCUUCCCAGUUGCCCAGGUUGUCCAGGCAAUUCCUGGCGCUUAUGCUGGGGCCUGCCCUCCACCUUCAGCCCUGCUCUGGCCUCUUCAGCAGCAGAGUCCUGGGUGACCAGCAGUGGCCCCCAGCCCUCGGAGUGGCAGUGGAGGGUGGGGGAGCACUGCGGCCGGCUCCCAGCCCAGAUCACCCUGGCCAUAUAAGGGAAGGAGCCCAGGGAGGCCUCCUGGCUCAGGUCCCGAGAGAAAACCCAGACAGCCACUGUUUAUUUUCUCCUGCCCAGCUCACCCACGCUUCCCUAAGCCUCCUGACAGAAGACAGAGGUUCCCCCCAGACCAGCAACAGUUCCUGAAGACAUGGGGAGCACAGAGGCAGAAACAGUCCAUCUACCCACAAGCUGUCAGCAGCCAGUACCCAGAGCCACCAGGUAAAACUGAGGCCACCUGGUUCAACGUUGCCUUUCACAGAAGGGGAAAUAGAGCCACAAAGAGAAGGGCCUGGUGAGAAGUGGAACCCAGGACUCCCAAGCGGUGUCUCUCAACCUUGGAAUCCAGAGUAGGAGGGAGCCUUUGGUGGGGUAAGUGGAAUGGAGGGGCGCAGCCAUAGACCCCUCUUCUCAGUGAGGCCCUCAUGUGAUGGAGGCAGGGGUUGGGACAAGUGCUAAGUAUGCAAGACUCAAGGGAAGAGCUCCUGGAGCCAGGAGAAGCACCUCCCUUCCAGCCCCUCUGCCCCUCCCCUCAGCACAGCUGCACUGACUCCUCCUCCAGGAAGCCUUCUUAGCUUCCCUGGUUGGGAGGAGAACCUUUUUGUCCUCUAAGUGUGCUUGGCUGUCCUUUCUUGAGUGCCCCUCCCCUCUCCCCCCCCACUUGGGUCUGCCCCUAUUCACCUUGCCAGGCAUUUUCCUUCUACUCCACCCGACUGAGGUCCUCCAGGUCAAGGAUGGUGUGGCUCUCAGACCCACUUCCCCUUGGGACAUAGAAGAAGCCCUGCGCUGAAUAGACAGGUGAAAUGAUUAGACCCUGCUCCCAAACCAAAGGUCUAGCAAACCGGUCAGGGCAUGAGCCAUCCAGCGUAGAGGUUAACAUGAGGGCCCUGGGUUGGCAACCCCAGCUGAGUCCCCAGCUCUGUACCCUUGGAAAAUUCCCUUCCCAUGGAGCCUUGGGGAUAGGGACUUACACAGUGAAAACAUUUAAUAUCCAGGUCUAAACAAUUCCACAAAUGACCAUGCAUAUUACAUUCACUAUCUUUAUGAUUAUUCCAGACACAAAGGAACAGAACGAGGCACUGAUAGCCAGGGGUGAGCAGAUUCAAGGGCCUCAGAGGAGAGGGAGGCAAACACCCUCCGCUGGUCGGAGGCUGCGCUUCAGCCCUCGUCCCUGCAUUAGUUUCUCCCACAGAGGCGUGGGGCUGCCUCCCAUCUAGUUCCUGUUUCUAAACCCAGGGGAGAUGCUAUCUUUGCUGGAGUAAUCUUGGCCGACAUCCUGGAGUGGAAAUGGCCUUCAAUUCCCCUGGUCCAUGCUCAGGCCCGGUGACCCUAGAACAAUCCCCUUCCCUUCCUGGUCCUCCAUGUAGAAGCAAUAACAUUCCUUGACAGGGGCACCAGCUGUUCUGAUGAUUAAAUGGGAUCAGACACUGUUUCCUAAAAUCAGUCAUUCAGAUUCCCCUUAUUUUAUUUUUUUUCUGUAUGCAAUUAUAAUAUUUUAAAAUGUAAGAUGAGCCCCUCCUUUUUUUUUUGAGACGGAGUGUCGCUCUGUCACAAGGCUGGAGUGCAAUGGCGCAAUCUCAGCUCACUGCAACCUCCACCUCCUGGGUUCAAACGAUUCUCCUGCCUCAGCCUCCUGAGUAAAGGGAUUACAGGCACCUGCCACCACGCUCAGCUAAUUUUUUUUAGUAGAGGUGGGGUUUCACCAUGUUAUCCAGGAUGGUUUCGAUCUCCUAACCUCGUGAUCUGCCCACCACAGCUUCCCAGAGUCCUAGGAUUACAGGCAUGAGCCAUCAUGAUCGGUGGAUGAGUCCUUUUUAAUACAUAGAAAUAGCUACUGUAUAAACAAAAUUGUAACAUUGUACAUAACUAGGAAAUAAAGGUAACCACAAAUACAAUAAAAAUGAAACAAUGUUAUUAUACUUGAACCUGACAGUGUGGCUUGCAAGGCCCUGGACCUGAAGCCUGGGUGAUAAGCGAGAGUUAGAAAGGUGUCACAGACAUGACAGCACCAAGCUGAGGCUUCCUACCCUACAGUAAAUAGGACUGAAGCAAAUUGACACGGAGCAACAGCAUGGAUCUGUUGCUCCGUGUCAAUUUGCUUUCCAUUCUGUUGUGUCCUGUCUUCCAGCAGAGGUCACAAACUCCCCAAAAUCACUCACCCACCUGCUGCACUUGGGAAGCCAAAGGUAGUUUAUGUGGAAGGGCUUUGGAAACAAUCAGGCACCAAGCAAAGGCAGAAGACACACUUUGUCAGUUUAGUUCUUGGCAGCAAAUCAUCUCUUUUUCAAGAUAACCCUGCUUGAUUCCUACUGAAAUCUCCUUGCUGAUCAUGCUAAGCUCUUCUCUCCCAGGGCCAGUGGGAGCCAUGGAGAGUGGAGUAGACCAGUUGUCUGUGACUCCCCACCAAGGGAGUCCAAUGUUGGAACACUCCCCAGCCAAAUGCAAGGUUUUUUAAAAAAAUCUAUUUAUGUAUUUGUUUAGAGACAAGUCUAUGAGCCUGGCUAAUUUUUUGAUAGAGGCAGGAUUUCAUUGUGUUGCCAGGCUGGUCUUGAAUUCCUGGGCUCAAGUGAUCCACCCAUUUUGGCUUCCCAAAGUGCUGGGAUUACAGGCGUGAGCCACUGUGCCCAGCCGCCAAAUGCAGUUGAAAAGAGUUCCUGCAAGAGAAUUCCUCAGAAGAGGAAAGCAGUUUUCUGGCUGGAAAUACCUUAGACAGAGGCUGUCCGCUCCAUAGGCUGUCAGAACUGACCUGCAACCAUGAUAGACCAGAGGAAAACACUCUUUCCACUCUUCUCAGAGUGGAGCCUGACUUCAGAUUUCUGAUAGAGGUGUAAGAGACAGUCUUUUUUUUUUUUCCUUAAGAGACAAGGGCUCUCACAAAAAAAAAAAAAAAAAAAAAAAAUCCAGGUGUGGUGGCUCACACCUGUAAUCCAAGCACUUUGGAGGCCAAGGUGGGUGGAUCACCUGAGGUUGGGAGUUCAAGACAAGCCUGACCAACAUGGUGAAACCCUAUCUUAAAAAACAAAAAAAAAGAGAGAGAGAGAGAGAGAGACAAGGGCUCUCUGUGUUGCCCAAGCUGGUCUUGAACUCUAUCUAGUCUCAAACGAUCCUCCUGCCUGAGCCUCCCAAAGUGUUAGGAUUACAGGUGUGAACUCAGCUCUGUUUUUGUUUUUUUCAGGAGGUAUAUUUUUUCUGUUCUCUCUCAGCCCUGAGGAAAGGCUACCCACUGCUUCAGACAUUCCUGAAAAUAUAUGUCAUCCAACAUCAAGGCCACCACGGUGACCACUGAGCAAUGCAAGAAGGUCCUCCAGGGUGUCCUGAGAUCUUGGCAAGGCAGGAUGAGUGAGAAAGGGCUUUGCCAGCUCAUCUGAAAGUUCCCACCCAAGCCAGGCCCAGAAAAUAAAAUGAUUUAUCUACAUGGUCAUCCAGUCAGCUACCAAAUGGCAUUACCUGGGUCCAUCAGCAUGUACAAAGCCAUGGGCAAGACCCAGGGCCCCCUAAAUUAACAAGCCAUGGGCACUGUCCUCAGGAAGUGGAGAUCUAGCCAGGUCAGACCCACACACAGAUAACACUGAUACUAGAGAUAAUGAAAUUGGGAAAUAUGAUUCAGUCAUUCAACCUGGGUUCAUGUGGUGUCCACACCACCUGGCCCUGAUUUCGGUACUGAGCACAGUUGACAGGGUCCCUUUCCCUCAUAGGUGAGCCAUGCGGUCCACAGGUGGAGGUGGUUGUAAGUGAAAUCCACAUCACCAGCAUGGUAAAGGGUUAGAAAAAGGGCACAGCAUGGGUGAGAACAUGGAGCAGAGGGUGCUGAUGGAUAGAGAAGUCAAGGAAGAACUGGGCAUGGUGGCUCAUGCCUGUAAUCCCAGCACUUUGGAAGACAAAGGCAGGCAUAUUCCCCUGAUGUCAGGAGUUCUAGACCAGCCUGGCCAAUAUGGUAAAAUUCCUCUCCAUCAAAAAUACAAAAAUUAGCCAGGCAUGGUGGCGUGUGCCUGUAGUCCCAGCUACUUGGGAGACUGAGGCCUGAGAAUCGCUUGGACCAGAGAGGCAGGGGUUGCGGUGAGCCAAGAGUGCACCACUGCACACCAGCCUGGGCAACAGAGGGAGACUCUGUCACAAAGAAAAAAAGUCAAGGAGUGUUUCCCAGAGUGUCCACUUGAUUAGAGAGCUAGCGCAGGAGGAGGAGCUGUGCAGGGGGAGUGAGAAGGAGCAGCACAGUCCCUGGGAAACCCAAGGUUGGUGGGCCAGGGCUCCCUGGGAGAAUGAAAGGACAUCUGCGAGCUGUAGCCCAAGAGGAAGAAGCCACUGGAGCCAGAGGCGGCAGGCCCUCGCAGGCUUUGGUGAAGGCAUCAGAAUUUAGCCUGAGGGCAGUGGGGAGCCCUUAGCGAUAUUAAGCUUGAGAAAAAUAUGACCAUAUUUGCAUUUUGAAAAAUCAUUAUGGGAAGAUGGUUGGGAAGAGAGGAGGAGUGGCAGAAGAAAGCUAGGUUGGAGACAAUUGCUCAAUGAUAUAAAAUGUUAAGUACUUGCCGGGAGCGGUGGCUCACGCCUAUAAUCCCAGCACUUUGGGAGGCCGAGGUGGACGGAUCACAAGGUCAAGAGAUCGAGACCAUCCUGGUCAACAUGAUGAAACCCCGUCUCUACUAAAAAUGCAAAAAUUAGCUGGGCGUGGUGGCGUUCACCUGUAGUCCCAGCUACUCCGGAGGCUGAGGCAGGAGAAUUGCUUGAAUCCAGGAGGCGGAGGUUGCCGUGAGCCGAGAUCGUGCCAUUGCACUCCAGCCUGGGUAACGAGCGAAACUCCAUCUCAAAAAAAAAAUUAAAAAAAAAAAAGUGAAGUACCAUGAAUGAUGCUGUUUUGCUGGGAUGAAGCAUGCAGCAUGAAGGUGGGACAUGGCAUUGAAAGGUGGGUUAACAUAUUAAAUAAUUCCAUGUGGCUGGUCCGAGUGCAGUGGUGUUUACAACUAAUUGAUCACAACCAGAUUUCUUUGUUCCUUCUCCACUCCCACUGCUUCAUUUGACUAGCCUAAAAAAAGAAAGAAAGAAAAAUAUAUAAAUAAUUCCAUUUGUUGAAAUAUUAGAAUAGACAGAUCUAUAGAGACAGAAGGAGAGUGGUCUGCCCAGGACUAGGGGUUGUCUAAAGAUAAGGGGCUUCUUUUUGGGGGGUGGUGAAAUAACCUGAAAUCUAUUGUGGCAUUGUUUGAAUCUAUUAAAACCCACUUAAUUGUACUGAUUAAAUGUUCUCCUUCUAAAUUAAGCUGUCUUGAAAAGAAAAGGAUGGUCAGGGUUUGGUCCUAGGGACUCAAAUGGCAGGCCAUGCACAGGAAACGCAGCUGUGGGGAGUUACAGCAGCAUCCUGAGCAGAGCUGGAGGGGUGGAGCCUGGGUCCCCUCUAAUGCCCCUUCUCCUGGCCAGGUUGGAGUCCCACCGCAGGCCAGCAGAGCGGAGCAGCACGGCCCUGUCUCCCAGCCUGAGGUGCAGUGCUGCAUCUCUGGUCAGUUGGGAGUCUGAGAUGAAGCACUGUAGCUCAGGAAGAGAGAAGUUGUUCUGCAGCCACCAGCCUGGGGGUGGUAAGUGCUGGGGGCCUGGGGGUGGUAAGUGCUGGGGGGCUGGGGGUAGGGCUGUCCCAGGAAGGACAGAGUGUUUCCAGACUCUAUACUGUCAGCGACUUGUGAUACUGGGGAAGUUCCUUGACACAGGUUCCCCUGGUUCCACAAUCCGCCUCACUGAGUCUCAACGUGUCCUGGCUCCUCUGUGUACCCCAGUGAGUGUUAGCAUUUCCCUAGCAUCCUGCAUCCGCUUUCUCUUUCUGAGUCCAUGGCAGACACAGCUAAUCAGUAAAGUCAUACAUUCUUUUUUCUGAGACACAAUCUUACUCCAUCACCCAGGCUGGAGUGCAGUGGCAUGAUCUCAGCUUGCUGCAAACUCCUCCUCCCAGGGUCAAGUGAUUCUCGUGCCUCAGCAUCCCAAGUAGCUAGGAUUACAGGUACACGCCACCACACCCAGCUAAUUUGUGCAGUUUUAGUAAAGAUGGGGUUUCACCAUGUUGGCCAGGCUGGUCUUGAACUCCUGACCUCAGGUGGUCCGCCCUCCUUGGCCUCCCAAAGUGCUGGGAUUACAGACAGAAGUAACUACACCCGGCCAGGCACCCAUUCUUGAAAUGUUCUCAGAUGCAACUUCAGAAUCCUCAGCAAUGAGCCCUGGAGAGCCACUUAAUAGUGGCUGAUGCACAGCUGACACUCAUUCAACAUUUCUGCAAACUAUUCCUAAAAACCUCUCAGCCCUGAAGACAAAAGUUCUGGCCUUUGAGUCAGGGUCUUCACUCUGUGCUUCUAUCCUUGGCUCUGGGGUAUUGCUGAAACCAGUCCAGGCACCUCACAAAUAUCUGACUUCUCCACAUGCUUCAGAAGUGCAGUGAGCAGCAGAGGAGAGCCAUGGAGCCAAGCACAGUUUCAUUUAACCUCCCCAAAAGCUUGGGAAGUGGGUGGUGUUAUAGCCCCAUUUUACAGAUGUGAAAAACUGAGGCUCAUUUAAGUAGCUCACCUAAAGUCACAUAUUGAUUGUGCUGAACUGAGACUGUACCCUGAUCUGCCUUCGGAUCCAUGUUUUUACCCAUUGCAUAUGAUUAUGGAACUGGGACAGGGAAGCAGGCAGAGAACAUUCUAAAUCCUGCUCCCAUCUUGUCUUUACAUCUCAGGUCACUUUUAGCAAAGACAGACCCACACACUUGCCAUUAAUCCCAUGGUCUUCCUUCCUCCUGCCCCCUCCCACAUAAUUUUAUUUAUCUCACCUCUCCAGUAGGUCCUAGACUCUUGCAUUUUAGCAUUAAAGAAGGCCAAGGCUCAGAGGUUAAGCGACUUGCUGGAGAUCAUCAAAGCGGAAGGUGCCAGACCCAGGCUUGGACGUGAAUGCUUGCUUUAAAUUCACUCCUCUGGCAGGAGACUGGGGAAUACACACGAGCCAGGCAGACAGCAGUGGGCAGUCCUGAGGGCAGGGGCGCCGGAGGGUUUCUGGUACUUUCCAGGGCAAUUGAAGUUCCAGUCACUACUCCCUCCAGAGCAACGAGCCCCGACCUGCGAUGUUUGGCACCCACACUGGCUGCUACAGAUGGGACUGGAUGCAGAAGAGAACUCCAGCUGGUCCUUAGGGACACAGCGGCCUUGAUGCUGAAGGCCAUUCGCUCCCACCUUGUCCUCACGGUCCAGUUUUCCCAGGAAUCCCUUAGAUGCUAAGACGGGGAUUCCUGGAAAUACUGUUCUUGAGGUCAUGGUUUCACAGCUGGAUUCGCCUCCUUCCCAGCCCAGAGUUGCCCCCCAUGGGGCCUUGGCUGGAGCACGAGAUGAGGGUUCAAGAAGAAAGCUGUCCCUGGAGGUAAGAGGGCUUGUGAACCAUGUUCCCAACCUUUGCAUUGCUUUUCUUUCCAUCAUGUCUAUUUCAUAACAUCCCUGUGAGACUGGAUGUGGGAACUUCAGCACUGCCGUACUCUUGGGAAACUUGCCCAAGGCUACCCAGAUGAGCAGCGGUUGAACCGGGACACCAUCAGGCAUGCCUCUUGUCUCCACCACACCCUCACCCCACUUCCCAAUGCUGCUUGCGACAGGGGCCGCAAUAUUGCCUCCACAUGACUGAUAAACUAGUAAACACACAUGAUUUCCUUUUUAAAGUGUAUUCAGUCAGUUAGGUAAGUGAAAAACCGUAAGCCUUCAUUCGAUUUGGAAUGCAGCCAGAGAAGAAAUGAAAAAUUUUUCAAGGUAGAGAAGAUAAAACUCAGAUCGCCCUCUUGUGGUGCCUCUACCCACCCCAGGAACACUAGAGCUUUUCCCCUGCACGUGGUGAUCUCUAAUCUUGCUGCAAGAUAUGGACACACACACACACACACACUGAGCUUCCUUUUGCCCCCCGCUUGGGAGUUCCUGGCUUCAGAGAGCUAUGAUUGUGCCUGUAAAUAGCCACUGCACUCCAGCCUGGGCAAUAGAGGCAAACCCUAUCUCUAAAAAUAUACACGAAUAAUUUUAAAAGUCAGCCUCUCUGAAUGCCUAUAAAGAAUUCUAGCUAACUGAAUGACAAAAGACCUAACGUGAUCCAGGUGCAAAAUUAGAACUUUCCCCAAACUCUUGCUAGGGCUUUUCACGGAGUUGUAGAAAACGGCAGUAGUUGCCAAGGCCCCAGAACCCUCAUUACAGGGUCUGACUCUCACAUUGCCAGGGACCAGGCGGCUUCCACAGCUGUCCCAAGCUGUGUUUCUCACAGGCCACAUUGAAGCCAUUUAUGAAAUGAGACUUCCUCUACCUAAUCCAGAGAGACAGGUCUGGCCUGACCAUGGAGAAAUCAGAUUUGCUAAUAAUCAUGAUAGCUUCCACUCCGCAACUGGUCACGAUCUGCCAGGCGCUGUGCUAAACACUUCCACAGGCCUUGUCCAAUCCAUCCUGAUAACACCCCAGCGAAGCAGGCUCUGCUGUUCACUCCACUCCACAAAGCCAAGGCUGAGAGAGGUUGACAGACUUACCUAAGGUCACACAGCUAAAAAGUUGCAAAGCUGGGAUCCAAUCAAAUCUGUGUUUGUGGGUUUAACUAUCGUGUUCUUGGCCCCAACCCCAUUUGGCCUAGCCUGGCUGCUGGGCUGCCUCGCCGUAGCUUCCCCUGGAGAAGAGGAAAAGCAAGCCUUCCUUGAGACCCAAGUGGUCUCUCCUGUGUUCUGUGAUAAUAAUAAAGUCCUGGUCCUUGG
Molecule: non-coding RNA, 23567 nt
Organism: Callithrix jacchus (white-tufted-ear marmoset)
Lineage: Eukaryota; Metazoa; Chordata; Mammalia; Primates; Cebidae
Source: RefSeq, a predicted model, not a curated record